This 21-nucleotide non-coding RNA is filed under the name Caenorhabditis elegans. The record is from RNAcentral. Lineage: Eukaryota; Metazoa; Nematoda; Chromadorea; Rhabditida; Rhabditidae.
UACAAUGAGAAGCAAUGUGAA